GAUGAACGCUGGCGGCGUGCCUAACACAUGCAAGUCGAGCGAGAUUAGUGCGAGUGGAGACUUCGGUCAAAGCGACCACUAUGAAAGCGGCGGACGGGUGAGUAACGCGUGAGCAAUCUGCCCCAUACAAAGGGAUACCCACUGGAAACGGUGAUUAAUACCUUAUAAGACCACAGAGUCGCAUGGCUCGGGGGUCAACGAUUUAUCGGUAUGGGAUGAGCUCGCGUCUGAUUAGCUAGUUGGUGAGGUAAUGGCUCACCAAGGCGACGAUCAGUAGCCGACCUGAGAGGGUGAACGGCCACACUGGAACUGAGACACGGUCCAGACUCCUACGGGAGGCAGCAGUGGGGAAUAUUGCACAAUGGGCGCAAGCCUGAUGCAGCAACGCCGCGUGAAUGAUGAAGGCCUUCGGGUCGUAAAGUUCUGUCCAAAGGGAAGAAUACAGUGACGGUACCUUUGGAGGAAGCCCCGGCUAACUACGUGCCAGCCGCCGCAGUAA
RNAcentral lists this ribosomal RNA (499 nucleotides) under uncultured bacterium. RNAcentral's name for it is "partial 16S ribosomal RNA". It matches the Rfam family "Bacterial small subunit ribosomal RNA", at positions 28 to 523 of the family's 1533-position model. The record is from RNAcentral.